UAUUUAUAGUUCUGGCUGAGAUUAACAAUGUAGAAGAAAAAAAACCUCACAUGUUUUAAGUACUUCCGGUCCAACCGGAAGUCUUGAUCCGGCAAGCAAACUUCCAUCAUGGCUCCCCCAGUAGCAGUGUCACCGCUUAUUAAGACGGCCAGAUGGUCCGCUCUACUGCUUGGUGUCUUCUAUGGAAAACAGAGAUUUGAGUACCUGAAGCCGAUUGCUGAAGAGGAGCGAAAGGUAGAGGAAGCCGAGAAGAAGGCUAGAGAGGAGCAGGAACGCAUCUAUAAACAGUUGUCAGAAGCAAAUUCUGAAACCAUCCUGAAAUGAAGCAUAUCUGAACCUGUGCAGAGAUGUUCUAAGAUAAAUAAAAAAGCCAUUAUUUUUCAUUUAAA
This is a long non-coding RNA of Oryzias melastigma (Indian medaka), 389 nucleotides long. RefSeq lists it as uncharacterized. Lineage: Eukaryota; Metazoa; Chordata; Actinopteri; Beloniformes; Adrianichthyidae. The record is from RefSeq and is a predicted model, not a curated record. The transcript is spliced from 4 exons.